AGGAAUUAUCAGUACCUGACAUAUUUCCUACUUACUUAGAUGUCUUCUUCACCACUACGGGGAUUUUGUCACCAUAACUCUAAACUGCUUAUCAGAGUCUCCGAUGUCAUUCACAGUUCCAGUUAAAUGGCUGCAACAAUUUCAGACCUCACAACUGAAGACAGAGAGUGUCUAUUCAGGUAGCUUCCAGAAGUAUCCUGCAAAUGUUGCUUCAUCAGCGGCAGUGACCCUCAUCUUACUGUGCCUUUUAAAAGAUAUUUAUGAUAUG
Mirounga angustirostris (Northern elephant seal) is the source of this 268-nucleotide long non-coding RNA. RefSeq lists it as uncharacterized. The record is from RefSeq and is a predicted model, not a curated record. The transcript has 3 exons. NCBI's taxonomy places the organism in Eukaryota, Metazoa, Chordata, Mammalia, Carnivora, Phocidae.